AUUAGACUCUUUUGGUCAGUUCAUUUAGCUAUCCCUUAGUUAAGAGAGAAAAUGUGUUCAAAACAAUCACUUUGGGAUAUUUUUACCCAAUGAAGUCUUGUUUUUCUGUAUUGAAAAAAAUACAAAUUAGCAUGCUAUUGAAAAAUCUUACUAAAUUCCUCAAGAAAUGAUAGUAUAAGAAAAAAAAGAAAAAGGAAAAAAUAUUUGAAAGGUUAAAAAGUAAAACAAUCCACUCACAGGACCUUUUGCUUAGUGAAGUUAUUUUCUAACAUUAUCAGGUGUGUGGCACUCAGGAGGCUGAGGUAGGAAGAAAGGAGGACAGGGCCUUCCCUGGCCAUAGAGCAAGAGUAAUGUUACUAUAGAAAGUCUCCUUAAACAAUUUCCACUUUUAGAAGGGAACCUGCUUUUCUGUGUACUUGGACAUGAGAGAGCAGUAGUUGGAAUCAGAACACAGGGGACUAAACAUGCACUGUUUGUGGGAGUUUUAUCAGAUGCUUUAUGCUUUUAUGGUCAAAAUUCUUUGUCACCAAAAUAGGAGCAGCUUCAGUGCUAAGAGUCAUUGCUUUGCAGAUCAUCACCAACAGCAAGGAGCACUGUGAAGACUCUUCUGGAUGCUGAGGAUUAGAUAUAGGACCUGCAUAUGUUGGGCAAGCACCCUACCACUUAACUACAUCCCCAGUCCUAAAGCAACUCUGAGCUCCCUUAGUUUAAAAGAACAAGUCCACACAUACUCCUCCCCGCUUCUUCAUUGCCAAGGCCUGUGCCCUCCCCAGCCUUGAGCAGUCUGAACAGACCUUGUCUGCCACACAGGACCUUAACACCUAGGUGAAUCCUGCUGCUUUGUUUACACUUGCAACUUCCAGUAAGAACUUUGAAGAAGAGACUGCCCGCUGAGCCUGCCUUGCAGCUGAAACAAAGGAUGGGUUCUGUGGGGCUUUCCCUAUAUAUUACAAGAGCUAAACAUUAAACUUUGAGCCUUGAUCAGAAAA
This is a long non-coding RNA of Grammomys surdaster, 989 nucleotides long. RefSeq lists it as uncharacterized. The record is from RefSeq and is a predicted model, not a curated record. Lineage: Eukaryota; Metazoa; Chordata; Mammalia; Rodentia; Muridae. The transcript is spliced from 2 exons.